CCUACGGGUGGCAGCAGUGGGGAAUAUUGGACAAUGGGGGCAACCCUGAUCCAGCCAUGCCGCGUGUGUGAAGAAGGCCCUCGGGUUGUAAAGCACUUUCAGUGAGGAAGAACGCCUGGUGGUUAAUACCCAUCAGGAAAGACAUCACUCACAGAAGAAGCACCGGCUAACUCCGUGCCAGCAGCCGCGGUAAUACGGAGGGUGCGAGCGUUAAUCGGAAUUACUGGGCGUAAAGCGCGCGUAGGUGGCUUGAUAAGCCGGUUGUGAAAGCCCCGGGCUCAACCUGGGAACGGCAUCCGGAACUGUCAAGCUAGAGUGCAGGAGAGGAAGGUAGAAUUCCCGGUGUAGCGGUGAAAUGCGUAGAGAUCGGGAGGAAUACCAGUGGCGAAGGCGGCCUUCUGGACUGACACUGACACUGCGGUGCGAAAGCGUGGGUAGCAAACAGGAUUAGAUACCCUGGUAGUC
This 465-nucleotide ribosomal RNA is filed under the name Vreelandella stevensii. Its description in RNAcentral is "partial 16S ribosomal RNA". It matches the Rfam family "Bacterial small subunit ribosomal RNA", at positions 338 to 795 of the family's 1533-position model. The record is from RNAcentral. Lineage: Bacteria; Pseudomonadati; Pseudomonadota; Gammaproteobacteria; Oceanospirillales; Halomonadaceae.